CAGGGUGGUUCUAGGAAUAGACACCUUCCUAUGCGGGAUGCACUUAGCGUGCACUUAAGCACCUGGUGAAUGCUGGUCACGUUACUCUCCUGUAGGUCAAGGGGGAGAAUCAAGGCCAGGUGAGUCGAAGUGUUCAGAUCUGUCCUUAAGAUGCGUACGUUUUAUUUGCACAUUACAGCCCAAGUUACAAAAAUACACAGGGAACAUGCCAGCUCCAGGAAGUGGCUGAGGGACUGGCUGGACUUGAUGGGUGCUGCAGUCCCAGAAUUUGAACCAGAAAAUCGGAAUGCUGGAAAACUUGUAUCAGCACCAGGAGCCGAUACGUACACACUUUUCUGAUGAAAUUGGCAGUGACAACAACAAAUGCGACAUUCAGUAACUGAAUAAUGAGAUCCGUCAGCAUUCAGAAGACCAGUGCCCAACGUUCCUGAACGACCAUCACGUGCUCUUACAAAAUCUGCCCACUCACACAGCAGGAUGCACC
This 484-nucleotide long non-coding RNA is filed under the name Equus caballus (horse). RNAcentral describes it as "lncRNA (ENSECAG00000056761.1)". The record is from RNAcentral. Lineage: Eukaryota; Metazoa; Chordata; Mammalia; Perissodactyla; Equidae.